Molecule: ribosomal RNA, 489 nt
Filed under: Candidozyma duobushaemuli
Lineage: Eukaryota; Fungi; Ascomycota; Pichiomycetes; Serinales; Metschnikowiaceae
Description: eukaryotic LSU rRNA
Rfam family: Eukaryotic large subunit ribosomal RNA
Source: RNAcentral
UGCAUAUCAAUAAGCGGAGGAAAAGAAACCAACAGGGAUUGCCUCAGUAACGGCGAGUGAAGCGGCAAGAGCUCAACUUUGGAAUCGCUCCGGCGAGUUGUAGUCUGGAGGCGGCCGGUCCGCCUUGCGCAACCAAAUCUAAGUCCUCUGGAACGAGGCGCUUGAAAGGGUGACAGCCCCGUGGAUUUUUGUUGUUGUGCUUGGCCCCUGGUCUGCCGACGAGUCGAGUUGUUUGGGAAUGCAGCUCUAAGUGGGUGGUAAAUUCCAUCUAAAGCUAAAUACCGGCGAGAGACCGAUAGCRAACAAGUACAKUAAUGGAAAGAUGAAAAGCACUUUGAAAAGAGAGUGAAACAGUACGUGAAAUUGUUGAAAGGGAAGGGCUUGCAGCUAGACAACUGUCAGCAUCGGGUGGAGCGGAACUAAAAGUGGGAGCUGAUGUAGCAACCCCCCCGGGGUUGCAUUAUACAACUCUCAGAUGGUUCCUGCUUC